Long non-coding RNA from Felis catus (domestic cat), 1022 nucleotides. RefSeq lists it as uncharacterized. The record is from RefSeq and is a predicted model, not a curated record. The transcript is spliced from 3 exons. Lineage: Eukaryota; Metazoa; Chordata; Mammalia; Carnivora; Felidae.
GACCUGUACUGGUCCUAAUAGCCCGUUGAAGAGGUCCACACGUGAUAGGCUGCUGCUAACCAGCAGAGGAAAGUGAUGGCAGCUGGUGUUGGGGCUGGGGGCCUCCAGGCCAGGCUGAGGAGAGUCGGCUCCCUGACACCAUGGCUGGAGAGAACCUGGGUAGGGUCUGCUGGGAAAAGCCCCCAAUUCAGCGAUGGCCGGGAGACCUCUUACUUGGGGUGAGAUGGGGAACUAGAGCAGGGCCCCAACCAUAGUGAAAGAAAGUCUGGGACUCCUUCAUGGUGAACCACUUCCAACCAGCCCCUCCUAAGCCUUUACUCAUCCCCAGAUGUUUACAGUUGUUUGCACAAGACUGGGGUGAGCUUCCUGGAAUCUACUAGAGCCAAGUUGCCUUCCCACCAUGUCCUUGGUCCUCCCCCAGUCACUCCACAGAGGACAAUCAGGGACGAGUGUGUCUGUGAAGCCGAAGCCAUGCAGGCUCUCUGACAAGCCCCCAAACUUCCAAGGCCCAGGAGGCUCCCUGGAAUGGGGUGGGGGCAUCCUCUGACAGCUCCUGCCCCACCCUCUUUGGAAAGCGGAACAGAACAGUGCUUCCAAAGGGAAAGAGAAACUGUGUUGGUGAGCAGCCGUAUCUGUGUGAAUCUGUUAGCAUCUGCUUGUGUGGGGGGCUAUUUCUCUGUGUAUGUCCUUGAGGGUAUGUGCGGUGGGCAGGUAGGAGGGGGUCAUUGUACUGGAGUUAGGCAGUGUCUCUGCCAGACAGUUGUGAUGCAAUCUCCUUCUCACACAAUCUAGGAAACUACCUAAAAAAAUCAGAGGCCAUAGUACCUAAGAGAGUGAAAGAGCAAAAUGGAGGAGAAACAGAGACUAGUCUGGCUAGUAGACCCUCUUACUGGAUUCUACCACCUGCUCACAGGUGAGGGCCCCUUCUUUCUGCUCACCGGGUUGGGGCAAAAACUAGGCGACUGGAAGAAGUCGAGGCCUCGCCGGAUGCCAGGGGGGACAGGAGGCUCACAACAGCGCUC